Molecule: ribosomal RNA, 462 nt
Filed under: Prevotella sp. oral taxon 317
Lineage: Bacteria; Pseudomonadati; Bacteroidota; Bacteroidia; Bacteroidales; Prevotellaceae
Description: bacterial SSU rRNA
Rfam family: Bacterial small subunit ribosomal RNA
Source: RNAcentral
GAUGAACGCUAGCUACAGGCUUAACACAUGCAAGUCGCGGGGCAGCAUGGGGGUUGCUUGCAAUCCCUGAUGGCGACCGGCGCACGGGUGAGUAACGCGUAUCCAACCUGCCCUUCACCACGGGAUAACCCGGCGAAAGUCGGACUAAUACCGUAUGUUGUCCAUUGACGGCAUCCGAUUUGGACGAAAGGCUUGGCGGUGAGGGAUGGGGAUGCGUCCGAUUAGCUUGACGGCGGGGUAACGGCCCACCGUGGCGACGAUCGGUAGGGGUUCUGAGAGGAAGGUCCCCCACACUGGAACUGAGACACGGUCCAGACUCCUACGGGAGGCAGCAGUGAGGAAUAUUGGUCAAUGGGCGGAAGCCUGAACCAGCCAAGUAGCGUGCAGGAUGACGGCCCUAUGGGUUGUAAACUGCUUUUAUGCGGGGAUAAAGGAGCCCACGUGUGGGUUUUUGCAGGUACC